RNAcentral lists this long non-coding RNA (2589 nucleotides) under Homo sapiens (human). Its description in RNAcentral is "HSALNT0332460". Lineage: Eukaryota; Metazoa; Chordata; Mammalia; Primates; Hominidae. The record is from RNAcentral.
GUGUGGUGUGGAAGUGUUUGUUUUUUGCAAUAGAUUUUUGUUGCAGUUUAGGUUUGUAUUUUCUUUGUUUUGUAGUGCUUAUUAUGAAGGUUCGUAGGUUUAUGUCUGUAGGCCAGGCAGGUCAUUAAACUUAACAAAGAAUAAGUAAGUCGGGAGAGGGGAAUAGAAAUCUCCACAUACAUAUUCUUAAAAGCUGUAACACUCACCACAAAGAUCUGCUGAGUGAAGUCUGUGAGACGAACGCACCAAGUCUGGACGCUCUGUCAGGCUACAUUUUACGUUUUUGGGAGUGAGCAGGUGUUAUUCUGUUCCCCGGGUUGGUUUUGAAGUCAUGGCUCUCAAGUAAUUUUUGUGCUUCUCAAAAGUGCUGGAAUUGCAAAGAUCAACAUCAAAAGCUACAAACUGGAAACAGAGGAAGAUACUAGCCCCGUGUUUCUGAUUCAGUAUCACUGAAAUACUUUGGAACCAUAUAAAGGGCAAAGUACAUUCCACAUGUUGAAGGACAGUGCCUGGCCCUGUGGGGUGUCAUCCCCAAGCUGUAGGCAUAGUGGCAACCCAGGGGUUCAUCUCAACUCCCAUCAGAGUUCAAACAUUGAAUUAGUUGUGCAAUGGAAGGAGUAUUACCAGGACCCAGAUGCAGCCCAAGGAAAAAAGAAAACAAAAGGAGACACACACAGACACCAGAGCAUGAUGCAAGUGUGGCUUAAUCGGUGCUUGCACAUUGGGCUUGUUCUUUCCAAACCUGUUGCCCCGAUUCUGCAAGGCUAUCCUGCUGUAGAAGGAGGCCCUGGAGGACAAGACACCAUGUGGGGAAAACAGCCAUGGGGAGCAGAACCGAGGUAUCCCAGCUUAGCUCCCAACUGACAGCAGCCACAUGAGUGAGCAGAAAAACAACUUCCAAGGGUGAUUUAGCUACUGCUGCUGUGGAAUGUCAAAACUUUCAGCAAGGGAGCCCGAUGCAGAUCUGUUGAUAUGACACCAUUCCACAAGAAGACCAACUGAUGGCUUUGUGGCAAGUUGACUACACUGGGCUGUUUCUAUUCUGGGAAGACAGAGAUUUGUUCUAAGAGGAAUAGGCAUGUGUUGCAGGCAUAGGUUGACCUUUCCUGCCAUGGAGCCUCCUCUGGUACCACUAUUUGAAGGUUGAAGGAAUGUUGAUUCACCAGGAUUGAGUCAGACCAGCCAAGCCUAUGACCAUGAUGUCAACUGACUGUAUCACCUGUCACAUCAUCCAGAAGCUACAGACUUAUAAGGCAUUGGAAUAACUUGUAGAUGGCCCCGUUAAAGUACCAGCUUAGAGGCAACACUCCAUGAGAAUGAGACAUCAUCUCCAGGAUGGCACAUACACAUUGAAUCACACAGCAUUGAUAAGGAGAUGGCUCCCCAGUAGGAAGAAUAUAUUGGUCAUGAACCAAGGGAUGAAGCAGAAGUGUCUUGCUUCCUGUCCCUGCAGCCUCUCUUUCUGCAGUGCUAGAAAUCCUGGUCAAAAGGGGGCAUAAUUUUAUCAGGGGACACAGCAAAAGUCUCCACUACAUUGCAGCUAUGCCUGCUGCCUGGGGAUUUUGGGCUUCUUAUAAUUGGGACCAGCAAUAAAAGAGAAGAGUCACAGUCUUGGCAGGGCUAAUUGACCCUGAUCAGCAGGAGAAGAAAGGCUGUGGUUCCACUAUGAGGGUAGGGAAGACGUGUGGCACCACUGAUCCACUUUUGCAACCCAUGGUACUCCCGUGGCCAGUUGUGAUGACAGACAAGUGCAGGAACACUUUUGGGAAGGGCAUGGUGGCCAGAGUUCAGACCCCAUGGGAAUGAGGACCAGGGUCACACCACUGGAUAAGCCAGGAGGAAGAGAGGCCCACUGGAAGGCUGGAGGAGCUGCUCCCCAGAUGUAGAUGAAGUAGAUUUGAGCAGCACAGUGGUGGACCUAGUAGAGGCGGACAUCAAGAUCCUCUUCAAGGAAAGAUUAUCAAUAUAGUUUUCCCUGACCCAGGUGCCAUGUGUUUUCUGUCAUAUUCACGUAUGCUAAUACAUAAUUGUGCAAGUGGGGUAAUAUCUGGGACACUUCAUGGUUCAUAUCAAAACACAGAGUGAAGAGAACAUCCUCUGGGCCAUCUCAGAGUGUGAGUUUGGGGCGGGGGUGGCUCCUGGUUAACAUUUCUGUCCACUGCAGCAUUCCUUUUCCCUUUUGCUUUUAGAUUCUUCCCUUGACAUCACACCAGGAAAGUCUGACAACUUAACUUUAUUGGAUAUAGGCAACCGUUGAAUCCAAGUUUUGCCCACUGAAUCCAUCAAAUUGUUACAGCCAAUUCUAGAUGCCUGAGUGGACACAUGAAAUCCAGAUUCCCCAGUAAGCGCAUCCCCAUUAAUAAACUGACCAAAUGCAAUGUUAAUCUGUUCUAUAACCUUUAGAAUCCAUCCCAACAUAUAUUUUUUAGGUUCCUGCCAAGAUAUGUUAGCAAAAGCUUGCAAUUUUUUGAAAAAUGAAUUAUCUCUUCCUGGGACAUGUGUUGUACUUUUCUCUCUGAAAUAGGCUGAGCUCUGACUCCAUUAAAAGUCUGAAAGCAAUGAAGAGUGAAGGAGCGGAUAUUGGGGAGA